RNAcentral lists this ribosomal RNA (497 nucleotides) under uncultured bacterium. Its description in RNAcentral is "partial 16S ribosomal RNA". It matches the Rfam family "Bacterial small subunit ribosomal RNA", at positions 28 to 507 of the family's 1533-position model. The record is from RNAcentral.
GAUGAACGCUGGCGGCGUGCCUAAUACAUGCAAGUCGAGCGAACGGACGUGAAGCUUGCUUUUCUGAUGUUAGCGGCGGACGGGUGAGUAACACGUGGAUAACCUACCUAUAAGACUGGGAUAACUUCGGGAAACCGGAGCUAAUACCGGAUAAUAUUUUGAACCGCAUGGUUCAAAAGUGAAAGACGGUCUUGCUGUCACUUAUAGAUGGAUCCGCGCUGCAUUAGCUAGUUGGUAAGGUAACGGCUUACCAAGGCAACGAUGCAUAGCCGACCUGAGAGGGUGAUCGGCCACACUGGAACUGAGACACGGUCCAGACUCCUACGGGAGGCAGCAGUAGGGAAUCUUCCGCAAUGGGCGAAAGCCUGACGGAGCAACGCCGCGUGAGUGAUGAAGGUCUUCGGAUCGUAAAACUCUGCUAUUAGGGAAGAACAUAUGUGUAAGUAACUGUGCACAUCUUGACGGUACCUAAUCAGAAAGCCACGGCUAACUACGUG